RNAcentral lists this ribosomal RNA (473 nucleotides) under uncultured Mycobacterium sp. Its description in RNAcentral is "bacterial SSU rRNA". It matches the Rfam family "Bacterial small subunit ribosomal RNA", at positions 77 to 574 of the family's 1533-position model. Lineage: Bacteria; Bacillati; Actinomycetota; Actinomycetes; Mycobacteriales; Mycobacteriaceae. The record is from RNAcentral.
CCUUCGGGGGUACUCGAGUGGCGAACGGGUGAGUAACACGUGGGUGAUCUGCCCUGCACUUUGGGAUAAGCCUGGGAAACUGGGUCUAAUACCGAUAGACUCACGGCCUCAUGGUGUGGUGGAAAGCUUUUGCGGUGUGGGAUGGGCCCGCGGCCUAUCAGCUUGUUGGUGGGGUGAUGGCCUACCAAGGCGACGACGGGUAGCCGGCCUGAGAGGGUGAUCCGGCCACACUGGGACUGAGAUACGGCCCAGACUCCUACGGGAGGCAGCAGUGGGGAAUAUUGCACAAUGGGCGCAAGCCUGAUGCAGCGACGCCGCGUGAGGGAUGACGGCCUUCGGGUUGUAAACCUCUUUCAGACGACGAAGCGCAAGUGACGGUAGUGACAAAGAAGACCGGCCAACACGUGCCAGCAGCCGCGGUAAUACGUAGGGUGCGAGCGUUGUCCGGAUUACUGGGCGUAAAGAGCUCGUAG